Molecule: small RNA, 74 nt
Filed under: Bordetella bronchiseptica 7E71
Lineage: Bacteria; Pseudomonadati; Pseudomonadota; Betaproteobacteria; Burkholderiales; Alcaligenaceae
Also listed under: 6 other names
Description: suhB
Source: RNAcentral
GCGGCGCGGCCUUCGGGCCGGCCUGCGUUUGGCUUGAACCCCGCGAACCCCCGCGGGGUUUUUUUAUGGCCCGC